UAGCAAGUCAUUCUUUCCUUUUUCUUAAAUGUCUAGGAAAGAGAUUAAGAAGUUGAGAUUUAGUUUCUCGUCCUUCUCUCUUUUUAAAAUGUUGAGGGACUCUCUCUCUCUACUUCUCUCCCGCUUAUUUUUCUAGAAACAAUCAGAGCCUAAGUGACCUCUCUCUCUCUCUCUCUCUCACACACACACUUCCUAGUUUCCACAUAUGCAAUUAGUUUAAACUUUAACCCAUUUCACAUUCAUCUUCUUCGCUAGCUCAAAAGCUUUGAUAAUGGUUUUUUCUUCGGCAACACUGGGGUUGGAGUACCCUCGUUGUCUUUGGGUAUUUGUUUCUUCCCUGAUUUUUCCUUUCUGCAUGUUGGUUUUAAGGUGGAAUUCAUCAUUAUCUUGAAGGGUGUUUCUGUUAGCGUGAUUAUCAUUCUUCCCCAUGUUCUUCUUAUUCUUGGUUGCUGAUAUUUCUCAUUUAUGCCAAGUGCUACCUUUGUUGAAGAGAUUGAGAAAAUUCUUCGUGCAUUAGGAAGAAAGCUCAUUUAGGAAAGCAAAAAGAAAGAGAGGAAUCUAUUCACCAAGCAUCUGGCCAUGAAAUAAAAGAAAAAGAAGAACUUGAGUCAGAUGACCAAAUAGUAGAGGAACCAGUAGAAAUACUCUUAUGAGACUAUGGAACUCCCAAUGCAAAUGGUAAUAGGUUGACCAUCGUUAAUCAUCUUAUAACAUUUGCAAAAUUUUAAUUCAAUUUUUCGUUUCCUUGAGAGUUGAAGCAGACGUUUCCUUGAGAGUUGAAGCAGAAACACCUCGUCGGUAGGACGAACGAAGAUGCCAACAAGCAUCUGAAGUAUUUUCUCAAAAACUCAAAAAAUGUUAAAUUAGAUGGACAUGCUGAAGAAGGAAAGAGAUUGAUAUUUUUCUCGUUCACCUCAACUAAAUUAGAUGUUGAAGAGUAGUUCGAUCAGCUUCCAUCAUGGAUCAUUUAUUCACGGGCAACUAUGGAAACAACACUUUUGAAAAAGCAUUUUCUGGCAUCUUUGUUCAUUUGAAAGAGGUACAAAAUCACCACUUUCAGAUAAAAAGAAGGAAACUCUUUAGGUGAGUCCUAUAAGAAAUUCAAUAAGAUUUUAGUAGCAUGUCCAACUCACAACGUUGAUGCAAUAGAUCAAAUUCAAAUAUUUUACAAUAGUAUCAAAUUGAAGACGAAGCAACUACUAGAUACAACAUUUGGGGGCUCAUUAAAAUUUACACCAUUCACUGAAAUUCCAAAUAUCAUUAAAGUUAUCGCGUCAAAUGAACUCUUACAAUCAUAUGACAAGUGUACCACUACUAAGGAAGGAGUAAUAGAUCUAAAACUAGGUAAUGACCAAAAAAAAUUGAAGAGUGUGUAAUAGCUGAAGUGGAGAAAAGGUUGAAGACGUUGAAUCUCUUAAAGUCGCAAGUUGCUUAGGUACAACAAAAGAGCAUCGUCAGUUGUGAAUGGUGCGGAGGAGCUCAUUUCACUAUGCAUUGUAAGGCCCAUCUUGCUCUUCAGUGAUACAUAGAUGGAAGAAGUGAAUUUUCUUAAACAUAACAACCCCUACUUAAAUACAUAUAAUCCAUGAUGAAAAAACCAUUCAAAUUUUUCUCGGAAGGAUCAGCAAGGGGCGCACUAAGACAAUUCACAAUGUCAUAUCAGGCAUCUUAAGAAAAUUGUACAAAUAUAUUCAAACUCUGAUUAAUAUUUUCGAAGAAUGUUUCUCUAGUAAUCGUGUUAUAAUUGAUUUGUCUUUAAAAAUUCGAGGAUGAACAUCUUUUAUUCAUGAACAGAAAAAUAUUGAGAAACUUGAACCACAUACUAUAAAUAAAAAGUAUUUUGUUGGAUAUUCUCCAACACAAAAUGGACAUUAAUGUUUUGAUCCAAAGAACAAAAAUAUGUUUGUAACUAUGGAUGUAACAUUAUUUGAAAACAAACUUUUUUUUUAAUGAUACUCAUCUUUAAGGGGGGUUAAGGAAGAAGAAGACCCGUUUAAUACUGACAUGAAUUUUUUUUAAUUCAACUUUUUCAAUAUUACAAAAUUUUCAGAUUUACACUUUGGCACCAACAACAAAUGGUCAUGAAUCCCCUACUGAACCUACUUGUGGUAUGAGUGAGGAACUUGGUGAAUAUGAUCUUAUAUUUUCUCAUGAAAACAAUAAUGAGAAUAUUAAAGAUAAUGAUAAUGAUAAAACACUUGUAGAAAAUAGAUUUGUAGCGAGAAAUAAGAUUUGAAAAGAGAAGAUUUGAAAAGAGAAGAUUCUUGAGAGAAAAAUUAUAAGGAAGGUGUUACAUUCAAGGCUUAACUCAUCACACAUUGUUCAUAAAGCACAUUCAGACAGAUUUUCGAUUUAUAAAAAAACUAGACGUCGAUCUCAUAUAUCUAUCAUUUAUAACUUCAAGUCAACAAAUUGCAGACACCCUUAUCAAAAAUUUGACUAGACCCACAUUUGAAUAGUUCGUAGACAAGUUGAGCAUGAUAAAUAUCUAUACACCAACUUGAAGGAAUGUAAAACAACCGUAUAAUUUUCAUAUUUAUUCAAUUUUUACAUUUAAUCAUUUUUAUUCUAAUAAUACUCCACUAGAAUUUUCUUCUUCUAGAAUAUAUAUUUUUUGAUAUAAAGUUGUAAUCUCUCUAUUUAUUUAAAUAAGCUAUGGGUAUAAAAUCCACAUAAUUAAGGCAUUAUUACUUCACUCUAAUUCUAAUAGGAUGUGACUCAUUUGUCCUAGAGUAAAGUGCAUCAAAACACAAAGACAAACUAAUUUGACACAUAGUCACCAUUGUCAACAACUCCCAUCUCAAUCCUCAUGCUCUUUGAGAAGCCAUUUGAAUAUUAUUCUAAAAUUGUGACCAAGUAGUCAUAGCCAUUUACAUAAAGCAAAGUUUAUUUUAACCUUUAUUUGUCACAUCUCCACCAAAGAAAUUAAAAAAACCCCACUUUUCUAUAUAUAACAGCAGGCGUGGACCUCACUUCUCCACCAACCAAACCAUCACAGAGCUUAUUUUACAUUUCAUAAAGUUUGCAAGAAAAUAUAUAAGUUAAAAUAAUGUCUUGUACGGACAACACACCAACCACACUCAACUCAAUCAUGUAUGACACAUGACACAUGACACAUGAUACAAUAUAAUGUGAUCAGAACAUAUAUAUAUAACAUUAUAAUCGGCUCAUCAAUAAAUCAAAGAGAUUGCAUGUGGUAUGCAACUAGAAGAAUUAAAGGUACUUAAAGUCCAUUCAAUAUUUUCAAAAAGCCGUACAGCUAACAAAGAUACUCUAUACCUGUAUACAAAAAAUGUCACUUUCUCUUUAUAUUCAACAAAAUAGCAAUGGCACUCUUUCAUCGUGAUUCUGUCAAUCUUACUGUAUUAUUCAUUGUAAUUCUAUCAAACUUACCGUCAAUUCAAACAUACAUUUUAUCGUGAAUCUAAACAUUUCGUCAAUCCAAACAUGCACUUUAUCUUGGAAACUGAAUGAUUUUGUCAAUCUCACCGUCAAUGUUUCCAAAUAUAUGUACUUUGUCUAGAAAAGAGAGUUACCGUCAAUGUUUCUAAACAUAUGUACUUUGUCUAGGAAAGAGAGUCAAUCUUACCGUCAAUGUUUCCAAACAUAUGUACUUUGUUUAAGAAAGAGAGUGAAUUUGCACUUUGUUGUGAAUCUAAACAUGGACUAUCUUUGAAAAC
This is a long non-coding RNA of Vicia villosa (hairy vetch), 3680 nucleotides long. RefSeq lists it as uncharacterized. The transcript has 4 exons. The record is from RefSeq and is a predicted model, not a curated record. Lineage: Eukaryota; Viridiplantae; Streptophyta; Magnoliopsida; Fabales; Fabaceae.